Long non-coding RNA from Pygocentrus nattereri (red-bellied piranha), 307 nucleotides. RefSeq lists it as uncharacterized. The transcript is spliced from 3 exons. NCBI's taxonomy places the organism in Eukaryota, Metazoa, Chordata, Actinopteri, Characiformes, Serrasalmidae. The record is from RefSeq and is a predicted model, not a curated record.
GUUCAGUUGUUGUUUUGGAAGCGAGUUAAGUUUCGUUUUUGUCUCGUAAAAUAAAAGUUUUCCCUCCGCGGGAUUCUCCACUAACCGUCCAGAGAGGAAGAAGCACCGACUACUUUCACCAUAGCCGGCUGGUCACUCCCCAUUCCUCCCGUUAUAGCAAAUACAGGACUGCUGAUCCAGCAGGGGGCGCCCGCGACGAACGUGUUUUGGGCAGCAGGAGGCGGGCUUUACUGCUAGAGCGGGAUGAUUGACUGGCGAGCGGAGCAGCUCAUUGGCUGGUCGCGCUAACUGACGUCAUGGACAUGCA